This 255-nucleotide ribosomal RNA is filed under the name uncultured bacterium. Its description in RNAcentral is "partial 16S ribosomal RNA". It matches the Rfam family "Bacterial small subunit ribosomal RNA", at positions 524 to 776 of the family's 1533-position model. The record is from RNAcentral.
UACGUAGGGGGCAAGCGUUGUCCGGAAUCAUUGGGCGUAAAGAGCGUGUAGGCGGUUCGGUAAGUCGGCUGUGAAAGUCCAGGGCUCAACCCUGGGAUGCCGGUCGAUACUGCCGGACUAGAGUUCGGAAGAGGCGAGUGGAAUUCCCGGUGUAGCGGUGAAAUGCGCAGAUAUCGGGGAGGAACACCUAUGGCGAAGGCAGCUCGCUGGGACGUUACUGACGCUGGAGACGCGAAAGCGUGGGGAGCAAACAGG